This 312-nucleotide long non-coding RNA is filed under the name Hordeum vulgare. RNAcentral's name for it is "long non-coding RNA (HVUL_LNC008494)". The record is from RNAcentral. Lineage: Eukaryota; Viridiplantae; Streptophyta; Magnoliopsida; Poales; Poaceae.
GAAGGCCUUGCGGCGGAACAUGGCGGUGAACUGCUCGCUGACCCUGCGGAACAUCUCCUGGAUGGAGGUGGAGUUGCCGACGAAGGUGGAGGACAUGGCGAGCCCCACAGGCGGGAUGUCGCAGACGCUGGACUUGACGUUGUUGGGGAUCCACUCGACGAAGUAGGAGGAGUUCUUGUUCUGCACGUUCAUCAUCUGCUCGUCCACCUCCUUGGUGCUCAUCUUGCCCCUGAACAUGGCGGACGCCGUGAGGUAGCGGCCGUGGCGCGGGUCAGCCGCGCACAUCAUGUUCUUGGCGUCCCACAUCUGCUG